RNAcentral lists this ribosomal RNA (239 nucleotides) under uncultured bacterium. Its description in RNAcentral is "partial 16S ribosomal RNA". It matches the Rfam family "Bacterial small subunit ribosomal RNA", at positions 524 to 761 of the family's 1533-position model. The record is from RNAcentral.
UACGGAGGGUGCAAGCGUUAUCCGGAUUUACUGGGUUUAAAGGGUGCGCAGGCGGUUGUUUAAGUCAGAGGUGAAAGCCCCUAUGCUCAACAUAGGGAUUGCCUUUGAUACUGAACAGCUAGAGUGAAGAUGGAGUGGGUGGAAUGUGUUGUGUAGCGGUGAAAUGCAUAGAUAUAACACAGAACACCGAUCGCGAAGGUAGCUCACUAAUCUUCAACUGACGCUCAUGCACGAAAGCU